RNAcentral lists this ribosomal RNA (468 nucleotides) under uncultured bacterium. Its description in RNAcentral is "partial 16S ribosomal RNA". It matches the Rfam family "Bacterial small subunit ribosomal RNA", at positions 28 to 507 of the family's 1533-position model. The record is from RNAcentral.
GACGAACGCUGGCGGCGUGCUUAACACAUGCAAGUCGAACGGAAAGGCCCUGCUUUUGUGGGGUGCUCGAGUGGCGAACGGGUGAGUAACACGUGAGUAACCUGCCCUUGACUUUGGGAUAACUUCUCGAAACUGCGGCUAAUACAGGAUAGGAGAUCCUGCUGCAUGUGGGGGGUUGGAAAGUUUCGGCGGUUGGGGCUGGUCUCGCGGGUUAUCAGCUUGUUGGUGGGGUAGUGGCUUACCAAGGCUUUGAAGGGUAGCCGGCCUGGGAGGUUGACCGGCUACAUGGGGCCUGCGGUACGGCGCAGACUCCUACGGGAGGCAGCGGUGGGGAAUAUUGCACAAUGGGCCGAAGCCUGAUGCGGCAGCGCCGCGUGCGGGAUGACGGCCUUCGGGUUGUAAACCGCUUUCGCCGGUGCCGAAGCGAGAGUGACGGUAAUGGGUAAAGAAGCACCGGCUAACUACGUG